GUUCAUGUAGCUUAAUAGUAUAAAGCAAAGCACUGAAAAUGCUUAGAUGAGUCUUUAAGACUCCAUAAACA
Molecule: transfer RNA, 71 nt
Filed under: Blarina brevicauda (short-tailed shrew)
Lineage: Eukaryota; Metazoa; Chordata; Mammalia; Eulipotyphla; Soricidae
Description: tRNA-Phe
Rfam family: tRNA
About the family: Transfer RNA (tRNA) molecules are approximately 80 nucleotides in length.
Source: RNAcentral